Carassius gibelio (silver crucian carp) is the source of this 2313-nucleotide long non-coding RNA. RefSeq lists it as uncharacterized. The transcript is spliced from 3 exons. The record is from RefSeq and is a predicted model, not a curated record. Lineage: Eukaryota; Metazoa; Chordata; Actinopteri; Cypriniformes; Cyprinidae.
UAUAUAUACAUUUUGUAACUUACCAGUCAGACUCCAGCAGCACAAACAGAACAAGACAAACUUGUGAACCAUUUUCUUCAGUGGUUCAGUGUGUGAGAAGAACUGUUAAAGUGUUGUGUGAAUCCUCCCCUGACUGUGUUCGACCCUCCUAGUUCACAUCCUGCAUUUGCACAUGAUAUAAUGUUAUAGUUCAUCUAACCCUUAUUAAGAUUUGUACUGGUUUUAAUGGAUAAAAAUAUCAUAAAUUUUUAUAAAAACGUGAAGGGUUCAUAUUACUGCCUCAGUGACAGCUUUUCUUUUGAGGGGGCAGUUACUUGAUUGUGCAACAGGUCUAAAAGUAGAACAAUAUUGUUUGAAUUGUGGAACACUGUUAUUUUAAAACAAUGUUUAUUUAUUCAAAAAUGAAUAGAAAAACCCAGAAAAUAAAUUUAAAACCAUGUUACGUUCUCACAGUACUGCCUUCACUGAUGUUUAUCUUUUGAGUCAAUCUUAAACCAGCUGUGGUUUGUUUUCAAAAUAUGAUCCAUUGGGUGGAAAAAACACGUCAGUGAAAAAUUAAAGGUGACAAGUUUUUUUUUUUUUUUCCUGUGCUGCUAAUUUACAGAAUUAAUCUAAAUGAAAUGAAAAAAAAAAGAAACUUUAUGGUCCAAUUCUUACUAACCCUCACACCAUCGCCAGCAACGCAUGAAACGGGCCCAAGAUCAUCAAAAUUGGAAGAAAAUGGCCUGGUCCGAUGAAUCAGGAUUUCUAAGCCGAUUACUGACAGAGGCUACUGCACCUUGGAUACACUGUUGUGUGGACACAACCCAGCAGCGGUAGUGGUGUUAUGCUGUGAGCAAUGUUUUCUUAGGACAUUUAAGGCCCCAAUAUCCUAAUAUCUUACAGCUGUAAGGUUAUGAUAAUCACUGUGGACCAAGUGCACCCAUUCAUGACAACUGUGUUCCUUGAUAGCCAUCAAUGCCAAAUUAUACUUGGUUGUUGUACACGUAUGCUAACGUAUGCAUACAGUCAAACAUGUAGCCUUUCAAAGUACACGCCAUUUGAUUUUUGGGUGAAUGCAGGCAGUCGAACCAUGAGCUCUUGAAGCUUCAUCCAUGUCCAGUGUCUGAUCUAUUUUUCUCCAUAAUUAAUUUCUCCAUAAUUCUCCAUUAAACCAAAUCCUAUGCUAUCCCAUUCUAUCUCGCUCACUAACGCUUGUCAAUGCCGCUAUCUGUUGUUGUUGCAGUUUCCGCUAUAUUGUUGUUCCGUCUCUUUAGGUUUCUACUGUGACUCAACGACCCGGGACAGUGUUACCACCUUGUGGAACAACUGAUUAAUGCAAAAUUCAAUGCACAUGUGCAACCUGCAUGUACAAAGUGUGUGCGGUUACAAAAAUAAGAUUUUGCAUACACAGUACAAAAUUUGCAUCACACUCACUGUACGCUGUUCCUCGUGUACUCGUGAAAAAUUAAGAAUACUUUGGGCUUUACCAACAUUACAUUAUAAGAUAAUGCACCAUGCCGCACUGCCGGAAUCAUCAAACAGUGGUUUGAGGAACAUGAUGGUGAAUUUCUGUCAAUGCCUUGGCUUACAAAUUCACCUGACAUGAACCCAAUAGAACUUUUGUUGUUCAACUUGGAAAAGGGGUGCUACAUCAUCACCAUCCUGCAAUGUAGAGGAACUGGAGGACCAGUUGUUGACAUUAUGAUAAGAUACACAGGAAUCACCUGCUUGUCAAUCAAGUCAAAUCAAUUCCUAGAUGCAUGGCUACUGUUUUGCCUCUUAAAGGAAGUCCUGCAGGUUAUUAGGUGGCUAUAAUGUAAUGUUUCAUUGGUGUAUAUAUCUAAUAAAAAUGUACCAUAAUCUUUCGUCUAGGAAUAUUGGAUUUAUUUAUUUUACUAGAACUUGUCAGAAGACAUAUUUUGUUUACUAAAGCUGUAGUAGAGUAAAGUCAACUGCUCCAUCUGCUGGACACUCUUAGGCAUCCAGGUUAGCAAGCAUCCAGGCCACCGUAGUUAUCAUGCACCGAUCAGGCGAAGGGACAGUCUUGUCACCGCAGAUGACUGUUCAAAUACAACCUUUUAGCUUUGUCUUUGCUCGGUCAGAAAGAGAUAGUUCGUGUGGAUUUUUUUCUCAUGAUUCCUGUCGAAGUUUUGUGCGUUAUUUACCUAAAGAUCAGUACCGUUUUGUUACUGGAGAUACAGUGUGGAGACACAGACCAGUACUGAAGAGGUAACAAACCAAAGGAUGAGGAUAGUAGCUUUUGUGUGCCAGCCGUGGUACAUACCGGAACAUCCUUCGUGAAGAUGUGUGAGAGAAGCUUGCAAGGCAAGA